CUACGAAAGGGCAACUCUAAUGAGACUGCCGGUGACAAACCGGAGGAAGGUGGGGAUGACGUCAAGUCCUCAUGGCCCUUAUAGGUGGGGCUACACACGUCAUACAAUGGCUGGUACAAAGGGUUGCCAACCGCAGGGGGAGCCAAUCCCAUAAAGCCAGUCGUAGUCCGGAUCGCAGUCUGCAACUCGACUGCGUGAAGUCGGAAUCGCUAGUAAUCGUGGAUCAGCAUGUCACGGUGAAUACGUUCCCGGGUCUU
This 257-nucleotide ribosomal RNA is filed under the name uncultured Hydrogenophaga sp. RNAcentral describes it as "partial 16S ribosomal RNA". It matches the Rfam family "Bacterial small subunit ribosomal RNA", at positions 1123 to 1382 of the family's 1533-position model. The record is from RNAcentral. Lineage: Bacteria; Pseudomonadati; Pseudomonadota; Betaproteobacteria; Burkholderiales; Comamonadaceae.